UUUUUAUAGUCCUUUGGGAAAGGAAUAAUAACAAUUAAGAUUCUUAAUUAUCAAAAUACAAAAAAGUUUUGAGAACAGAAACAAAUACUCCUACAUAAGUUUUUUAAGGCCAUAAAAAUAUUUAAAUUGCUACUCAAGCCAUUUGAUAAAUAAAGAAAUUUUAUCAAAUAGGACACAGUUUCUCUAUUCAGUGAAUGUGCAAGAAACUUGUUCAAAUAGUGGUUUGGGAUAUGCUUGCACAGUUGAACGAAACCGGUUCGAAGAAUACAUGAGGCCAUCAAUUUUAGAAUCCUAAUAGAAAUACAAACAACCCAACAAACCUAGAGUGACUCGACGGUUCUAGGAUAAUAAAAUGACAGAAUACACAACAGAGAUGGCGACAAUAGAAAUAGCAAAUAUGUAGUAUUGAUAGUGAUGAGUGAUGACAACAGUAUUCUUCAACUUUCAAACCCUAGAAUUGUUGAACCUUCUUUCAAGCCAUAUCUGAAACAAACUUGUGAAUCCUUUAGGAAUCAUAAAAUGAAAAUUUCGAAUUUCAGCACAAAUUUCUUAACAGUUAGUAAUGUAAAUCAAAAUUUAAUUCGACAACUCAUUUUUUAACAAAAUUAUGUGAGAUAACUUUUCUGCAAAGCUCUCAUACUUCAUCAGGACUCAUAAGUCAUAAACCAAUCCCCACUUCUACAAACUGCAACUAUCUAAUCUCUGUACAGAAACUAUCACAAGCUGAAAGUUGGUGCAUCCAAGAUGAAACUUGAAGAAAGUUAAUAACAUAUUCUUUUUCAAAGUUCUGUUCUGUUAUUGCAAAAUGGACAUGCUGUAAUAUCCUAAUCAAAGAAUUCAGAAUACAGUUCACAUCUUGGUAUAGCACAAGUUGAAAGAAUCAUCUUUGUUCACCAAAAAAUGCAGUUUCUACCACAAUAAAUGAGAUCGUUGAUAUUGCAACAGAUCAACCACGAUGCGAAAACAACAUUUGAGAGAACACACUUCCUAAGCACAAAACAUAUACAUCAAAUUCCUUAUAUUGUUAUUAUAUAUCAAGUACUCAAAUCAAACAAUGAAAAGUAGAUGCUUUUCCUAUAAAUUCAGCAUCACAUUCUUAAGAAUGGCUAUUGAUGCAAAACAUUCCCAAAAUAUCAAUUAUUUGAUUUGAGAAUU
Molecule: long non-coding RNA, 1155 nt
Filed under: Trifolium pratense (red clover)
Lineage: Eukaryota; Viridiplantae; Streptophyta; Magnoliopsida; Fabales; Fabaceae
Description: long non-coding RNA (TPRA_LNC006340)
Source: RNAcentral